UUCCCUACGUUGGAGGCACCGGUGAGAGGCAUGACAAUAGACCCGUUAGGGCCUUCCCAUUCCAAGGCAAAUGUGGCUGCACUGGAAAAAGCCCGAUUUGGUGGCACUAUGACAUCCCAGUGAUGACGGAGGGGGUUUGUUAUUAAGUCAUAUUAUUAACCUCUCCAUCAUCGAUCAUUAUGCGAGCAUUAUUAACAUGAAUGCAACAACUAACAUGCAACAUACUGAUGCAGUAACAAAACAUCAAGCAUUUCAAAUGAACAAUGAUAGCAUGCGAAACAUGGCAAUACCAAGUACUAGCAAUCUAAGCAGUGCAACAGAAUUAUCAUAACAUCGAUACUACUAACAUGAAACUAAACCCAAGCAUGAUAUUAUUAGUAACAACAUCAAACUAGCAUGUCAACUUAUUUCAUGGAAGCACAAACAUGCAAGACAGAAAACAAAAGCAUAUAGCACGAAUGAAAUAGCAGCAGACGGAACAACCAAGAAACUACUGCAACUAAACACACACACGAGGUGCAAGCAAAGUGAACAUGCAAGUUCGGGGCUCAUGAUAAGAGGUUGGCUUGCCUGGGGGUCGAGGAUUACUCCGGAAAAAGUGCGGAACGAUCACGGAAAGAUUUGCCGGAAACAAUUCUCUCUCGGAGGGGGCUGUUUACGGGCAAGGGCAAAGUGGUCAUUUUCACUAUGUGAAAACAUAAUGAAAAUGAUACCAACAAAAAGAGCUCGACGAGACAAAGACGUGAGCGUCGGUUUCACCUCAAUCGGAGUUACGGUUGCGGAGAUACGAAGGGUUGAAGUUCAGGGACCUAUCGGUGAAUUUUUUCAGCAAACAGGCCCCUGGAGGAAAAACUGAACGCGCCUUUCUCAGAAAUAUGCUUUCCAGAGAGGAAAGCGCAUUCUGGCCCGGAGAAGAGGAAGAAUACGCUUUCGGCUUAGGGAAAGCGCAUUCUCGGGAAUACGUGGUCACUUAUCCACGUCGGCGCCUGGGGUCAAUCCCUAGUGCGACUGACGGGUGGGCCUCGCGGAGAUGGGGCCCGCCUGGCCUGCGUCUUCAACCUCCCGCUCGCACGCACGCCGGGCAGAUGGAGGGGCUCGCCUCGAUGGCGAUAGCCGGCGCGUCCGGCCACCGCUCGCGACGGCCGACCUACCCACGGGUUCAGGAGCGAGAGGCGCAUCCCGUGGUGUUGUCAGCUGCCGUCGAGGGGCACUAGGGAAGGAACAGCAAGGUGGAUGGCGGGCCAGGGCUUCGGCCUUCGGCGAACAGGGAGCUCCGGUGGGGGAAUGGGGUGGGCAAGGCAACGGGGGGCUCACCGGACCCUGGGGAGGGCAGUGGUGGAGGUGGAACGGCGAGAGGGGCGGCAUCACCGGAAUCGAGCGGAGACCGAGGCGGCAGCCGUGGCAAUGGUGGUGGUCAGGGAGGGGUACCGGGCUCGGGGAGAGGCUUGGGGAGGAGUAGUGGACUGCUACGCUGCUCGGGGUGCGCUUAAAUAGCUGCGGGGAGAGCUCUAGAGGGAGGGGCGAGGCGACACGCGGCACGGCUACGUGUCCGUGCACUGGCGACGCGCAAGUGCGGCCAAGGACCACAUGGAGCGGCGGCAAGGCGACGUGGGGGGCGUGGACAAGAGCCAGGAGGUCACGGAAUCGAGCUGAGCUCGAAGACAAGAGGGGGAAACGGAUAGGAGCGAGGAAACGACGACGAGCUCACGGAUAGGGACUGUUCGGCGACAGCGACGACUCGUCGAGGAAGAAAACAAAGGGGGCGAGGAGUCUAGAGGGAAGAGGACGUCGAGGGGGAGCCGUGUGACAUGCUAGGACAAUCCGGAAUUGACCGGAGCGUCGUUGCUAUUGCCAGCAGUGGCGAGACAACCGAUUUGGCUGGCAAUGCCCCGUGGUCACCACCGACAAUGCACGCUCGGGUCGUCUACUUGGUGCCAAAUGAUGUCUACAACGUAGUCCUCCCAAGGCUCAUUAAAUGUGAGGGGAUGUCACAGGCAGAGGUGUAGAGAGCAGAGGGAACCAAGCUCGACAAGUUUGCUGUUGCAAACUUCGCCACAUCUUGGUGAUCAAACCAGAGAGGUUAAGAGGCAAACUUGAUGUCUAGGAGGUUUAGUCUACCAAGGACUACGGUCCUGGAAAGUUGGAAGGGAUUUGGGUAAGUAUUUAACAUAGCUGCAGUGCAACUAGGAAAUAUGGCCCAGAAAAGAAAUGAGGAAGAAACACUCACUAGGAGUGUUGGAUUGGGCUAAAACAUGGCAAAGCUUCCUGAUUUGGUCAUAUUUAGAUGCUGCAAAAAGAUCAUACCAAAUGGGGUUUCCAAAUUGGUACUUGCUUCACAAGCAUCACAUCUGACCAGAAACUUUGAAAAAAUCCAGGAAAAUAUUGGCUACAUGAAAUGAGCCAAAAUUUGUGGGAGAUAGGUUAUAUGGAUAGGGAAGACUUGGGAAUAUUUUCAACCAUAAUGGAGCAAGGUAAAAUAUACUUGCUUCACAAACUGAAAAUUAGGGCAGAAUCAAAGAAUGGCUCCUGUGCUCACAUAGAUCAAUGGAAUGUACUGAAUUUAGGUUGAGGCUAAUGAUUUGAGAUACUUGAGAAGAUGGAAAAGUUUCAUCCCAUUUGGAAACUCUAUGAAGGUACUUCUUUCACAAGCAUGCCAUCUGGUCAGAAACUUUGAAAAUUUGCACAUGGAGCUAGGAUGAAUGGAUUGAGCUCAUCUUUGGUAUCCAUAGAUUAUUUAUCAAGGUUAAUCACCCUGCCAAAUUGCAGCUCAAUUGGAAUUAGGAAUAAAGCACUUCCUUUGCAAAAAAUUCAGAGAGGGCAGAAACUUGCAUUGGAUCAUGUGCUCAAAUUAUGAUCUUUGGAACAUGGGUUUGGAUGGAAAUGGUGAAGAUAUAGCACGUACAAGCUCCACAAAUUAUUUGGGAAUUUUCCUUGCUAUAAAAAUGGUAGCUCCUUUGGAAACUGGCAGGAAUGCAAUAUUGGCUUAAAAUAAGAAAAUGCAAUUUUCCUUAUUUAAUUAGGGCCAAUAUCUUUGCCAGAGCUUGGAUUAGGCAUAAAUAUCAACUCCACCAAUUCUCAUGAAUUUAGGAGAUGGCUAGCUAUGCCUUUGGAUUUUAUUCCUCAAAAAGGCAAGAAAAGGAAUAAAUCAUAGUUCAAAAAUAUUACAUGGGACUUGGCAAUAUUUUUGCAUAUCCAAGGAUUAGAAGGAUAGGAGGGUCUCUGGGAAUAGAUGGGAUGAUCAAUUGAUCAAGAAAAAUGAUGGCUUCUUUGUAAUCACAAAGGCCACAUUCAAAUUCCAAAAAUUGGAAUUAGGGUUUGAGAGGAUUUGAGAUGAUGCAAAAGAGAUCUUGCCCACUGACAAAGACAUGAGCAAGGUUUUGAAUGGUUGGAAAUGACAAGAAUUCUCAGAGUCAUCCAACAAACUCAGGAGAAAGAUUUUGAAAAUGAGUGCUAGGAAGGAAUAACAGCUCAAAAAUUGAUAACCCAAUUUUGGGGCUGUUACAAACCUCCCCCCCUUAAAAGAAUCUCGUCCUUGAGAUUCCUAGGGCUACAACACAAAUGAAAGGGUAACCACUCCGGGGAAAAACCUCGGGGUUAAUUUUAACCCUUUGGUUGGAUUCGAACGAGUUGGGGGCACCGAUAAUUGGUACACCCCGAGAGAUAUGGGUAAACACGGUUAAAUCCACGGCUAGGUCACUCAAGAUAAGACUCUCGAAAAAUUUGCUACAUGCACCCUAGUGAACAGCAGAUUCACCUGCUGACACAUGGGUCCAGGGCCCACUGGCAGCCUCCUUCUUCUACAUCUGGCUAACGGCUUCUUCGGUGCUGCUGCUUCGCGUGCGGCUGGGCGCAGCGUGCAUCUAUCCCCUAGGGCGAUGAGGACCCUAGUGCCGUAGUGCGUGGCGUGCACGGUGCCGGUGCAGCGAGCACUCACGUCGCGGGCCAGCACCUUGUCGGCACUGCUCACGGAUUCGCCUCCUGGACGCUGGUGGUCGAGCGACGAGCGGUUCUCCUGGACCUCGCUCACCGUACACCGGGGUUGGCCUAUAAAAGACGGCAGCGCGGCUCUCCUCCAAGGCACAAACACAAUGCCGCUCUACUACGUACCUCUUCGGUUUGGGCGAGAUCGAGCCGAGCUCCUUCGGCGAGGAGGUGUUCUUGGUGGCGCUGCGGCUGUUCCUCGCGGCGCUGCUGGGUACGCUAAUCGGCUCGUCGAUCCUCCUGCUGAUACUCUUCAGGAAUGAUCGGGUUCGGGAAAACGCACGGCUAGGUGUGAUGGCUCGAGAUGCGGGAGAAGACGGUGCACUGCGUGGUCCUCCGCCACGCUUGAUCCUCCCUCGCUUCGCGCCAGCAGAGUAAUCGCGUGCUGCGGUGGAGCGGGGGUGGCGACUCAGCUGCGCCACGCUAGGCAGUGACGGUCCGGGUGGUGGGGUCCAGAUGCAGGUGAGGUGGCGGCGCCAUCUCACGAAACACACUGGUAUACAAGGGAAAAUUUCGCGGAUUGCUCCACGAAAAAAGUAGGUGCCGAGGUAGAAUCGGAGUUGAAAUCUGUAUCGGGGUAGAUGUACUGGAUCGAGUGAAAUAAAGCUGGCAACAUUUCUCCGGAAACGAAAUUGGAGCUAACAAAAAAGAAUUAGGGACAAGAAAUGGCCAGAUGGAAAUGCUUCUUCGAGGCUCUGGGUUUGGAAAAUCUGACACACGGGGUGUGCACAGAUAGAGAGGGAUAUGUGACUUUGCAUUCCCCCGAGUACUGCCCAAAUGUACUCGUGGGUGAACCGGGUGUGCGUGCAGUAUGCAGUAUAAUCUAAACUAGCAAACAGACAGAUGCAACAAACAUGCAAUGCAAAACACAGUAGAAAAUCAUACUAAAGUGUUUUAAUGCUAGUGGGUAUAUGUACUGCUGGUAUACAUAUACCUACACCAGCGAGCAUUUUGUGAAAGACUCGGGAUGAGCCAAUGUUGUUUUUAGUAUAUGUGCUCUACUGAUUAAAAUCUUGUUAGCACACAUUGCCAACCCUGUCAAACAUCUCUGUUUGACGGAGAGACAAACAAAAACAAGCAUGAAAACAAAAGCACGAAAACAAACAUAGAACACAGCAGACGGAUUACAACAGUACUAGCAUACAACAAAGCACGAACGCUCUACGCGCUAAACGAAACUACUCACUCUGGGGUACAUAGUUCUAUCCUCCUAUCGAGGAUGAACAGACUGACUGACCUACUCGCAGAUUCACCUCAUUGCCUAACAGAGUUCAUGCAGAGGAUUGGCCUUGCUGGGGCUCUCCUGGAGGAUGAAGACUGAGCCAAUCUCCAUCUUCAUCGUCUGACAGCACUAUGGGUUGGGGUUCGACUACUAGAGGUGUGGCUGAAAUUGAUCCAAGCAAAUGCUGCUGGUGGAUUCGUAAAAGAGCCUUGUCGAGGGUGAUGAUGUUGGGUCUAGGCCACAACACAGGCUGAGAGGGUAGCACUGGUUCGGAUGGCAUGGGGUGAACAGCUUGAGAUGCAAAUUUACGAGCCUCGCGAUAAGCUUCCUUGACAACUCGUACCGCAUCAUUGUCCAGGGUUCUAAACUCGGCAAGCAUCUUGGAAAUCAUCAUCCCCUGGGCAGUGAUAUAUUGCACCAGGCGAGCGAUUGCGAGGUCAUCUCCUUGGAUAGCGGGAGAAGGCUGCAUUCCUGCUUCUGCCACAAUGGGGAAAAAGCAGAACUCCCGCCUCGUUGCCACAUGCGGGAACUUGGUUCGGAGGUGUAGGAUAGCCUCCAUAGCAGCGGCCUGAAUGGCUAAAUCAGUGGUAGGCAUGGCUCUACCCUGAAAAACCAACGACUGGCCAUCUACUGCGGGACCUAGGCUGAUGUGCACUCUUGCAUCAAAGCGAUGAAGGUGAGGGAUGGGUGCCGAUUGGAACACCAGGUAAUCGGGGUUAGCCUUACAGCCAAAGGCUUUGGUGAGCAUCUCAGCAAGAAGGGGUGGAAAGCCAGGGUGGUUGACGGCAAAGGUGCGGAUGUAAAGCUUGGGAGCUUUGAAGGUGCUAGCCAUGGCUGGAGUGUUGCUAGCUAGGCUUCUCUGUAGGGACAUGGCUGACUGAGGGGGUGAACGAUACGGCUAGCGGAAAGGGGGUUUUAUAGGCAGCUAUGCGGGACAUGCCCGCAUGGUGUGGCCCCUUUCCCUUAAUGGCGAAGGGAAAGCGGUGCGGCCAACCAAAAAAGAUAGGUUUGCUAUUCAAUCCACGGAUAUCUAGGCGGGGACAGCGGGGUGAGGACGUGUCGGUCCCGACUGCGCCACCUGAUGAUUAACAGUGGCCAUGCCGGAUGCCAGGGAUGGGUCAAAUCCCUUAGGGUCAUUAUGGGUUGAUGGUAGCGGUGAUCUAAAGCUAGGAUAACCUAUGCCAGCCUGGCAGAUUUGAUACCAUCUCCCGUGGCACCCCAAUCCGCAUGGAGCAGGGGGCCUUCGCACGUCAGCCCAGGAUAACACCUGACGCACGACAGGUCCAUGAUACAGCAUUCCAGGUACAAUAAUACUCAUCAAAUACAUAUGUAUAUGAUUACAUCAUUGAUGAAUACAAUUAUCUGGCAUAGCCCUAAGGCUAUACGGAUGGCAGCGGAAGUCUUGGUUUGGCAGUGUCUCAUCUAGGCUGGGAUACACAACUCACAGGACUGGCAAGAUUACGGCCUAGCACGACGGAUCAAGCGAACAAUUUGGGCACGACCUACAAAACUGGCAUGACACGCCAGGUCAGUACAUUGAAUGUACUUGCAAGACAACCAAAUUCAUAGCACCCAAACAAACAGAUGAUAAAGCAAGAACCAAGCAUAUGCAACAGCCUACCUCAUAGCAGAAACUAAACAUGGCAAUGGCAUAUCAAACUUACUUCUAACAGGGCUACCGCAAAGCAUAACAUAUCAAAACAUGGCAUACCAAAGCAUGGCAUAAAUUCAGUCAAAGCAUGGCAUGGCAUCAUGAAACAAUGCUGAAAAUAAACUACCAGUCAUAACCGACGCAAACAUACCAUGUUAACUUUAUUCAACCAUCUACUAUUCUACCAUAGUUCUUUAAAUGCAAAUAACAACAUACUACUCAUGCAAUGCAAACAAGAUGUGCACCGAGUCCCUCAGACUCUCUUACCGGUGGGUUGCCUCGCAACAAAGCGAUGAUCAUGCACGGAUCACCAACGGAACCACAAUUGGUUCAAUACUCAUCGAGACCUUGUCUCGUGAUCAUACCAACUCAUCAUCGUGAUUACUCACGACUGUCUCACAGUCCAAGUCAUCACAUUAUUUCACAUUAUUCAUCAAGUUAGUUAUAUUAGGUUUAUCCUCCAUUUCUACCGAGACCUGAUAGUGUGACCUACUACGAACUUGUGCCCAUGAGACACGGCUAUCGAUAGAUUUAACACAUACACUCUGCAGAGGUAGCGCACUGUACCCACACCACGAAACCAAUGGCCUCGCACUCCCAUUCGGGUGGACCAACGGCGUUCCCACAAAACCGAUCUAUUGCCAUGACACUCUCCCGGCCACUCCGACCAACACCCCUUUUGGGUUCAGUCCUGGGUGGCCCAAGCCUACCAAAGGUCUUACGGCCACCGUCGUGGCAAAAACGGUCCCAAACAGGGACAAAGCGCGCAAAACAACUCGGGCUCACAAGGUUCAUGUCCGCCUACCUGAUCAGGGUAGCGCGUGCCCAUAACCUUCCCUAUGUUGUAGGCACCGGCGAGAGGCAUGACAAUAGACCCGUUAGGGCCUUCCCAUUCCAAGGCAAAUGUGGCUGCACUGGAAAAAGCCCGAUUUGGUGGCACUAUGACAUCCCAGUGAUGACGGAGGGGGUUUGUUAUUAAGUCAUAUUAUUAACCUCUCCAUCAUCGAUCAUUAUGCGAGCAUUAUUAACCUGAAUGCAACAACUAACAUGCAACAUACUGAUGCAGUAACAAAACAUCAAGCAUUUCAAAUGAUCAAUGAUAGCAUGCGAAACAUGGCAAUACCUAGUACUAGCAAUCUUAGCAGUGCAACAGAAUUAUCAUAACAUCGAUACUACUAACAUGAAACUAAACAGAAGCAUGAUAUUAUCAGUAACAACAUCAAACUAGCAUGUCAACUUAUUUCAUGAAAGCACAAACAUGCAAGACAGAAAACAAAAGCAUAUAGCACGAAUGAAAUAGCAGCAGACAUAACAACCAAGAAACUACUGCAACUAAACACACACGAGGUGCAAGCAAAGUCAACAUGCAAGUUCGGGGAUCAUGAUAAGAGGUUGGCUUGGCUGGGGGUCGAGGAUUACUCCGGAAAAAGUGCGGAACGACCGCGGAAAGAUUUGUUGAAAACAGUUCUCUCUCGGAGGGGGCUGUUUACGGGCAAAGGCAAAGUGGUCAUUUUCACUGUGUGAAAACAUAAUGAAAAUGAUACCAACAAAAAGAGUUCGACGAGAGGAAGACGUGGGCGUUGGUUUCACGUCAAUCGGUGUUACGGUUGCGGAGAUACGAAGGGUUGAAGUUCAGGGACUUAUCGGUGAAAUUUUUCAGCAAACAGGCCCUUGGAGGAAAAACUAAACGCGCCUUUCUCAGAAAUACGAUUUCCAGAUAAGAAAGCGCAUUCUGGCCCGGAGAAGAUGAAAAAUACGCUUUCGUCUUAAGGAAAGCGCAUUCACGGGAAUACGUGGUCAUUUAUCCACGUCAGCGCCUGGGGUCAACCCCUAGUGCGACUGGCGGGUGGGCCUCACGGAGGUGGGGCCCUCCUGGCCUGCGUCUUCAACCUCCCACUCGCACGCGCGCCGGGCAGAGGGAGGGGCUCGCCUCGACGGCAAUAGCCGGCGCGUCCGGCCACCGCUCGCGACGGCCGACCUACCCAUGGGUUCAGGAGCGAGAGGCGCAUCCCGUGGUGUUGUCAGCUGCCAUCGAGGGGCACUAGGGAAGGAGCAGCAAGGUGGACGGCGGGGCAGGGCUUCGGCCUCCGGCGAACAGGGAGCUCCGGUGGGGGAAUGGGGUGGACAAGGCAACGGGGGGCUCACCGGACCCUGGGGAGGGCAGUGGUGGAGGUGGAACGGCGAGAGGGGAGCGGCAUCACCAGAAUCGAGCGGAGCCCGAGGCGCCGGUCGUGGCAAUGGUGGUGGUCAGAGAGGGGUACCGGGCUCGGGGAGAGGCUUG
This 9135-nucleotide long non-coding RNA is filed under the name Triticum aestivum (bread wheat). Its description in RNAcentral is "long non-coding RNA (TAES_LNC024527)". The record is from RNAcentral. Lineage: Eukaryota; Viridiplantae; Streptophyta; Magnoliopsida; Poales; Poaceae.